AUUUGAUGAGGGCAAACAUGUGGAAACAUAUGGACGCAAAGUUGGGAGUCUAAGGGGAUAAAGAUAAUAAGACAUUAUAUAACGUAUUUAGAGAUAUUUCUAAGAUAGUCCGACCGCAAUG
This 121-nucleotide non-coding RNA is filed under the name Roseburia sp. CAG:303. Its description in RNAcentral is "c-di-GMP-I riboswitch aptamer". It matches the Rfam family "c-di-GMP-I riboswitch aptamer". Rfam says of the family: GEMM was predicted in a large-scale screen for bacterial structured RNA regulatory elements. Genes associated with GEMM are involved in a diverse array of functions, including chemotaxis regulation, signal transduction, secretion and chitin. RNAcentral also lists the same sequence under 1 other name. The record is from Rfam by way of RNAcentral. Lineage: Bacteria; Bacillati; Bacillota; Clostridia; Lachnospirales; Lachnospiraceae.